GCAACAGGCAAGGGGCUAAAGGGAGGGGGGCCCAGUGCCAGCCGUUUAAAAAUGCCCCGUGGCAGUGAGGGGUGCCAGAGGCCCGGUCAAGUUAGUUGAGAAGCAAUGACACCCCCAACAAUCCCCUAAAUGAGCUGACCCCCGUAUCCAGGCUGCAAGGAGCCACACCUGGACCAGACCCCAGGAGAGCCUCCUGGAGCUUCCCAAGAAGACAGAGGUUCCCCCCACUGGCUGGGCUCAGCGACAUUUCCUGAAGACAGUGAGGAGCAGGGAGGGGGAAUCGGCCCAUUCUCUGGGAGCAGCCCCCCAGACUGCCAACAGCCGGCACCAGCAUCACCAGAUUUUUCUAGGUACAAGGGAACAGAACCACACAGCCCAUAGCCAGAGGAGAAGGAGGCAAUUAGAGUGCCCGGGUCAAAGGCUGUCAACAAGCCCCUGCCUCUGCGUCAGAGUUUCUCCCACAGGAACGUGGGCCUGCCUCCCAUCUACCUCCCGUCUCCAUACCCGGGAAAGGCGCUAUCUUUGCAACAAUAUUCCGAGCCCCAUGCUGGAAAUAGCUCUCAACUCCCCUGGUCCAAGCGGGGCUGUGACCGUGGAACCAUCUCCCUUCCAUCCUGGUCCUCCACGUGGAGGUGACACCAGCUGGGCCGAAGGUUAAAUGCGAUGGGAACCAAACCACAGCCACUCAGAUACCCCCUUCUGUAUUUUUUUCCUCUAUCUGCAAACAAUCACAGUACCUCUACAUUUAAGAUGAGUCAUGUGUACCCGCGUAUGUCCGUGAAAAACUCUGACACUGGCCAUAACGAGGAGACGAAGGUAAGAUAAGCAGCAAGAAGGGAACAGUGUGGUUAUCCUUCGCCCCAGUGCGGUGGCUUGUGAGGCCCUGGGCCUGAGGCCUGAGGUCUGAGGCCGAAGGGAAAUGAGCAGGAGCUGGGAAAGCCUCAGAGACAAGAGAGCACCAAACAGGCUUUCUCGCCCUUCCUCGUAAAUAGAAAGCAAACUGAUGGAGGGGAAAAGCUUGCAUCACUGUCUUCCACAGGUAGGACUGAGGCCCGCAGAUUCUGCAGAACUGCUCAUGCAGGGCGCCAGAGGUGGUCCGGUGAAGGCUUUGGAAACAGUUGUGCAUCGAGGAAUGCAGGAGGCUGGCUUUAUCAGCUUGGUUUCUGGCCAUGGAAGUUUGUCACUUUGUCAAGAACCACCCCCACCCCCCACCUGCCCCACCGGCUUCGUACUGAAACCUCCAAGUUGGUCAGGCCGAGCAUGUUCCCUCGCGGGGCUGGUGGGGGCCCAUCCCAGAGUGGAGCACAGUGGACAUGACAGGCUGUGGGCUGUCUAGGACCCCCGAGGUGGGACCCCCCCAUCGGACUCACUCCCCAGCCAAAUGCGCUCUGGAGAGAGUUCCUACGGGAGAACUCCAGAUGAGAGAAAGGCAUUUCUUGGGCUGGGAAUACCUCAGGAAGGGACUGUCCUCCUCAGGAGGCCAUGGGGACUGACCUGCCCUCAAGUGGCAGACUGGAGAGAGACACUCUUCAGCUCAAGGCCAGAUUUCAGAUUUCUAGGAGAGGCAUAGGAGACACUUUUUUUUCAAGGAGGAGGUUUUGUUUUGUUUUGCUUUCUUCCAGCCCUAAGAAAGGCUACCCACCCCCUUAGGCCUUCAUAUAACUCUGAAAGUAUCUGUCAUCUGGUAUCAAGGCCACCACCGUAGACACCCAGCAAAGCAGGAAAGUCUUCUGGGGGUGCCCAGGAGGAACAGAGGUGGCCCUGCCUGCCUGCUCGCAGAGGUUCCCACCCAAGCCAGGUCUCAAGAAGAAAAUGAAUUAUCUACAUUGGCCAUUCAGUCACCCACCAAAUGGCAUUGCCUGGGGCCCAUCACCAUGUACAAAGACCUCAGCAAGGCCCAAGGACACCCCCAAAUUAACAAAUGUCGGCACUGCCUCCAGGGAACUGGAUACUAGCCCAGUCAGACCCGGAUGCAAAUAGCUCUGACACUGGAGAUGAGGUUGAUGAAAGUAAUUCAGUCAUUCAACCAAUGCUUGCUGAGGUCUACACUGCCGGAACCCACUUUCAGUGGUGAGCCCAGGCGGCUCACGGGUGGGUGACGCAGCCCACAAGUGUGGUGCAGGAUUAGAAGGAGGGCACACAGGGUGUGAGGAUGUGGACAGGGGUGUCCUGAUGUCUGAGGAAGUCAACGAGGGCUUCCCAGAAAAAAAUGGCUUUUUGAUACUAGGCGCAGGAAGAGGAGGCAGGCAGGGGGUGUGAGGGGAACAGCACAGCACCCGAGAGCCCGGAGAUGGUGGGCACGGGAGAAGCGGGAGAGGCCUCGUGGUCUUUGGGGAGGACUUUAGAAAUUAGAUGGGAGGAGAGGGAGCACUUUCAGGAUCCUAAAGCAUGGAAGAGAUAUGACCGUAUUUACACUUGAAAAGUCACUUUGGAAGGAUGUCUGGGAAGGAUGGGGGGUGGACGUCGGGGCGGGUGGGGAGUGGAAGCAGGGAGACCAGGUAGGAGGCCAGGGCAAAUGUUUGAUGAUAUAAAAUAUCAAGUACCACGACUGUGCUGUUUGGCUCGAAGGUACAGAGCAUAAAGGUGGGGCCUGGGGUCCCAUAUCGGAUGAGUCCAUUUAUCGGAAUGUCUAGAAUCAGCGGCUCUCGAGACAGAAAGCCGGCUGCCCAGAGCCGGGGCUGAUGGCAGAUGGGAGGGGCUGAAUGAUAAGAGGUCUCCUGUUGGGGUGAUGAAGUGUCCUAAAAUUGGCUGUGGCAGUGGUUGCACAACUGGGUGAAUGUAUCCGAAGCCAUUUCAUUGUACACUUUAAGUGUAUAUGUGGGAUUACAUCUCAAUAAAGCUGGUUUUUAACAAAAGAG
Molecule: long non-coding RNA, 2858 nt
Filed under: Canis lupus familiaris (dog)
Lineage: Eukaryota; Metazoa; Chordata; Mammalia; Carnivora; Canidae
Description: lncRNA (ENSCAFG00000056516.1, ENSCAFG00845009524.1)
Source: RNAcentral